CGAACGCUGGCGGCGUGCUUAACACAUGCAAGUCGAACGGAAAGGCCCUGCUUUUGUGGGGUGCUCGAGUGGCGAACGGGUGAGUAACACGUGAGUAACCUGCCCUUGACUUUGGGAUAACUUCAGGAAACUGGGGCUAAUACCGGAUAGGAGCUCCUGCUGCAUGGUGGGGGUUGGAAAGUUUCGGCGGUUGGGGAUGGACUUGCGGCUUAUCAGCUUGUUGGUGGGGUAGUGGCUUACCAAGGCUUUGACGGGUAGCCGGCCUGAGAGGGUGACCGGCCACAUUGGGACUGAGAUACGGCCCAGACUCCUACGGGAGGCAGCAGUGGGGAAUAUUGCACAAUGGGCGGAAGCCUGAUGCAGCAACGCCGCGUGCGGGAUGACGGCCUUCGGGUUGUAAACCGCUUUCGCCUGUGACGAAGCGUGAGUGACGGUAAUGGGUAAAGAAGCACCGGCUAACUACGUG
Molecule: ribosomal RNA, 466 nt
Filed under: uncultured bacterium
Lineage: Bacteria
Description: partial 16S ribosomal RNA
Rfam family: Bacterial small subunit ribosomal RNA
Source: RNAcentral